RNAcentral lists this ribosomal RNA (909 nucleotides) under uncultured bacterium. Its description in RNAcentral is "bacterial SSU rRNA". It matches the Rfam family "Bacterial small subunit ribosomal RNA", at positions 8 to 888 of the family's 1533-position model. The record is from RNAcentral.
AGAGUUUGAUCCUGGCUCAGAACGAACGCUGGCGGCGUGGAUAAGACAUGCAAGUCGAACGGAUUUUCUGAUGUAGCAAUACAUUGGGGAGUUAGUGGCGCAAGGGUGAGUAACACGUGGGCAACCUGCCCGGAAAUGGGGGAUAGCCCGCCGAAAGGCGGAUUAAUACCGCAUGCGACGAGGGGCGACAUCGCUCCGAAGUUAAAGUCGGUCGUAGCAAUACGGCUGACGUUUCCGGAUGGGCCCGCGGCCUAUCAGCUAGUUGGCGGGGUAACAGCCCACCAAGGCUAUGACGGGUAGCUGGUCUGAGAGGACGACCAGCCACACUGGAACUGAGACACGGUCCAGACACCUACGGGUGGCAGCAGUCGAGAAUUUUUCUCAAUGGGCGAAAGCCUGAAGGAGCGACGCCGCGUGGAGGAUGAAGGUCUUCGGAUUGUAAACUCCUGUCAUGAGGGAGCAAGACACUGCGUUAACUGCGCGGGUGUUUGAUAGUACCUCAAGAGGAAGAGACGGCUAACUCUGUGCCAGCAGCCGCGGUAAUACAGAGGUCUCAAGCGUUGUUCGGAUUCAUUGGGCGUAAAGGGUGCGUAGGCGGCUAGGUAAGUCAGAUGUGAAAUUCCGGGGCUCAACCUCGGAACUGCAUUUGAUACUGCUUGGCUAGAGUACUGGAGAGGAGACUGGAAUUUACGGUGUAGCAGUGAAAUGCGUAGAUAUCGUAAGGAAGGCCAGUGGCGAAGGCGAGUCUCUGGACAGUAACUGACGCUGAGGCACGAAAGCUAGGGGAGCAAACGGGGUUAGAUACCCCGGUAGUCCUAGCAGUAAACGGUGCACGUUUGGUGUGGGAGGAAUCGACCCCUUCCGUGCCGGAGCUAACGCGUUAAACGUGCCGCCUGGGGAGUACGGUCG